RNAcentral lists this ribosomal RNA (610 nucleotides) under Clathrinidae sp. 2 JV-2020. RNAcentral describes it as "partial large subunit ribosomal RNA". It matches the Rfam family "Eukaryotic large subunit ribosomal RNA", at positions 354 to 775 of the family's 3401-position model. The record is from RNAcentral. Lineage: Eukaryota; Metazoa; Porifera; Calcarea; Clathrinida; Clathrinidae.
UGAGGGAAAGUUGAAAAGCACUUUGAAAAGAGAGUUAAAAGCACGUGAAGCCGUUGAAAGGGAAACGCGCUCGGCUAGCAAUGUGCCUUGGCGGUUCAGCCGGUUUGGGCGGGAAGGCCGUCGUCGUCGGAUCCGAAUGGACCGCGGCGGUGGUCGUUCUUGUUCGAACUGCGGUGCACUCUGCCAGGGCACGCGUCAGCGUCGGUUCGCAGUUCAGGCGACAAGGCCGGGAGGAAGGUGGCUCGGGGCUCGCCCUGAGCGUUACAGCCUCCCGUGCUGGGUCUGGUGCGGACCGAGGAGAGAGAGGAUCGCUGCAGCGCAUGCCGCAAGGCUAGCUGCCCGUUGCUCGGCUUGCUUCACAGGCUGUGGACUGCACGCAGUGUUCGGCUUGGCGAGGUGGUCGGGUGGUGGAGCGGUAUAAAUGCGCUUAGGACGCUGGCGUCCAAAUGGCCGUGCGCGACCCGUCUUGAAACACGGACCAAGGAGUCUAACAUGUGCGCGAGUCUUUGGGUGUAGAAACCCGUGGGCGCAAUGAAAGUGAAGGUCCUGCUUGCGGGGCUGAGGUGAGAGCCGGUGCUGCGGCGUCGGUGCAUCAUCGACCGGUCGUAUC